RNAcentral lists this ribosomal RNA (107 nucleotides) under Cronobacter sakazakii. Its description in RNAcentral is "partial 16S ribosomal RNA". It matches the Rfam family "Bacterial small subunit ribosomal RNA", at positions 1 to 105 of the family's 1533-position model. Lineage: Bacteria; Pseudomonadati; Pseudomonadota; Gammaproteobacteria; Enterobacterales; Enterobacteriaceae. The record is from RNAcentral.
UUUAAUUGAAGAGUUUGAUCAUGGCUCAGAUUGAACGCUGGCGGCAGGCCUAACACAUGCAAGUCGAACGGUAACAGGGAGCAGCUUGCUGCUCUGCUGACGAGUGG